ACGGAAGGCAGCAGUGGGGAAUAUUGGGCAAUGGGCGAAAGCCUGACCCAGCAAUGCCGCGUGAAGGAAGAAGGUCUUCGGAUUGUAAACUUCUUUUAUGAGGGACGAAGGAAUUGACGGUACCUCAUGAAUAAGCCACGGCUAACUACGUGCCAGCAGCCGCGGUAAUACGUAGGUGGCAAGCGUUAUCCGGAUUUACUGGGUGUAAAGGGCGCGUAGGCGGGGAAGCAAGUCAGAUGUGAAAUCUAUGGGCUUAACUCAUAAACUGCAUUUGAAGCUGUUUCUCUUGAGUGCUGGAGAGGUAGAUGGAAUUCCUAGUGUAACGGUGAAGUGCGUAGAUAUUAGGAAGAACACCAGUGGCGAAGGCGAUCUACUGGACAGUAACUGACGCUGAGGCGCGAAAGCGUGGGGAGCAAACAG
This 420-nucleotide ribosomal RNA is filed under the name uncultured Oscillospiraceae bacterium. RNAcentral describes it as "bacterial SSU rRNA". It matches the Rfam family "Bacterial small subunit ribosomal RNA", at positions 341 to 775 of the family's 1533-position model. The record is from RNAcentral. Lineage: Bacteria; Bacillati; Bacillota; Clostridia; Eubacteriales; Oscillospiraceae.